Long non-coding RNA from Saccostrea cuccullata (small rock oyster), 977 nucleotides. RefSeq lists it as uncharacterized. Lineage: Eukaryota; Metazoa; Mollusca; Bivalvia; Ostreida; Ostreidae. The record is from RefSeq and is a predicted model, not a curated record. The transcript has 4 exons.
AUGUUGAUAUUGUACAGAAGGAACGUUCGGAAAAGAGUGUCGCGAAAAGGAGAAUCAUGACUAGCUUUGGAUCGAAUUUCUGUUUUGACAGAAGAUGAAGACAUUUUACGACUCGGUACUGCGUUGCAUGCAGUGGACUGUGCCCGAGACGAUUCCCACUGCGCCGGCGAAUAGUCAGCUUGUAAAAAUGGAAUCUGAAUGCUCACAAGAAGGACAAAAGCAGUAUGAAAAUUAACACAAAGAAAUUGUGCCAGAAAAGUUUGAAGUGUCUAUGGGAAUGAUCAACAAUGAACAUUGAACUUUCUGAGCCUUUGUACUUAAAGUGAAUCCGUUCGUGACAUGACCAGUCAUUUGGCUACCCUCUAACAUAACGCCAUCUUUUAUUUAUUUAUUAUUGUGAAUUUCAUGGGAUAUCAGUGAGGAAGUGAUUCAAGCAAACACUUGAGAAAUUUCGGAUCUAACUUAAUUAGGAUCUUUGGCAUGUUCGGGGAAAAUAGUAUGUGUUGAUUUAUUGGAUCUUUUUAUUAAUAUAGUUGUGUAGUGGAUAUUUUGUACUUAAUACAUGUGUUUGUCACUCUAGUAAAUGUAAAUGUACAUGGACAACUGGAAGUUCAUUGUAACUGUAUACCCCGUUGAGGUUUCAAUGACCUCUCCCAAUGUCAUUAAGUCAAAUGCCAUAUUUUAAAAAAAGAAAUAGUUUGUUUUAUUACAAAGAAAUGUCAAUCAGUGAGAAUACUUUGAAAAAAUGUGCUUACAUUGUACAUCUAUAAGUGUAUAUGUAAUAUUUGUUUCAAAACACAUUGUAAAAGAAACUAUUUUUUUUUAAUUUUUAAAAUAUAGAUUUGAUCUAUGAUAAAUUGUGAUGUUAUCAUUAUUUCAGUUUUCAUUGUAUCUUCCUGGAAUUUCUUAGAUUUCCAUUGAAUUCCAUAGAUUUCCAAAUAUCCUUGUGCACAAAUAUGUUGGGCCAACAUUGGGCC